Molecule: transfer RNA, 63 nt
Filed under: Solenaia carinata
Lineage: Eukaryota; Metazoa; Mollusca; Bivalvia; Unionida; Unionidae
Description: tRNA-Leu
Source: RNAcentral
GCGAGUUAGUAUAUCAAAUACCUUUAAUUUAGGCUUAAAAAAAAGACUAGAAAUCUACUUGCA